AGGUUCUUUCAUAGAUCAUUCUGUACCCAGCCGGUGUCCACCUUCCUAGCAACUGUCCAUCCAUGCAACACUGAGUCAGAGUCUGCGACACACAGAGUGAGGAAGACAUCAUCUAUUGUUGAGUGACUUAUAGUCUGAGUUGAUCUGGAAGCCACCAGCAGAAGACGCAAGGGGACUCUGUCACCUGUGGGCGGGCAGGAAAAGACAGCAGCUGGCAGAGGAGGACUUGCAGACAGCCAGCUGUGCCUCGGAGGGAGGGACUGGAAACCCUUUUCCAGUGCCCUGGGAGCAUCAGAGAGGGGAAGCAGCUGGCACAGGAUCACACAGCUCUGCAUAGCAGGGACAGCUUGGUCUCUGCACUCUUUGGCCUCUUUGAUGGGUUAGAAGUGUAAAACAGAAAGGUUUUCUAAGGGGAAAGCCGACAUGGGCUGAACUUGGCAAGAAAUUGUAAAGUGUGCGCUCUGUGAAAGGCACUGUUGGGAGAAUUGAGGGUAAGCUGCAGUGUGGGACCCAUCUGAUAAGAACUGUUAUCCAAAACACACAAGUUACAUGAAAUAAACUCAACAGCAAGAAAACAAACCACCUAGUUUUUUAAAAUGGCAGAAGUCCUGAACGGGCGCUACACCGAAGACUACAAAUGACAGAUACGUCCGUGCAAAGAUGCCCAUGUCUCAUGUCACCGGGGAACUGCAAGUGAAAGUUAGCCGGCACUGCAUACUUGCAGAAGGACAAAAUGCAAAGCCCUGACCACACCAAAUGCUGGAGGGGGAGGAGUCUGUUGGAAGGCGGCUCAGCAGACUCAGGAGCCGACCCCCUCUCAGCACACGACCCAGCCGCCCUGCUCCUCGCCAUUCGCCCCAGGAGCUGAACACUGUCCUCACACAGGUGUGCAGCAGCCUUGCUCAUCAUUGCCUUUACCUCCACACCCAGCAAGACAACUUGUGGGAUUUUGAUAGGAUCAUGUUGACUCUGUGGAUCAAGUGGGGAAGAAGGGACAUUGUGGCAGUACUGAGUUUCCUCCCCUCGAACAUGGAUGGAACUUCCGUUUCUUUAGUUCUUCUUUGAUUUCUUUCAUCACAGUUUUGCAGAUUUCCUCAUGUCCAUUUUUUGUUAGGUUUGUAACUAAGUAUUUUCUUUCUUUGGGUGUUAGUAGAAAUGGUUUGGUGUUUUCAGUUUGAAAUCUACUUACUUAUUGCCAGUGUACAAGAAAGCAGUUGGUUCAGCAGGGCUAGACUGAGGUGUAGGAGUCGAGGUUUUCCAGGGAAGCACAGCCAAGAACCUACAGAAUGUGCAUCUGCACGCAGACACGUACACAUAAACAAGCACACAUAAUCACGCAUGCUCACAUACAGAUAUACACAUGUGUAAACAUGGACACACGUAUGCAUAGAUACAUUGGAGGGGUGAUCAAAGAACACCGCCAGUGUUUAGUGUGGUGCUACCACACGUGGCCCUGCAGCCAUACUUUGAACACAGACACGUUAUCUUCGGGGGGUGGGGUAGCUUAGAGCUAGGGCAACCCUCAGUUUUCCCCUGAAAUUCCCUUUUUUGUGCUUUAUUUUCCUGGAGCUCUGGGCAUGGAACGCAGGGCCUCAAGCUUGCUAGGCAAGUGGCAAUCACAGAGUCAGCCGCACCCAGCCCCAACUGGGUGAAUGCUUAAAUUAAAAAAAAUUAUCACAGUGAAAGACACACAGACAUGAAUCCCCCUCGAAAUACGCCUCGCUUCUAACACACUUACCCCUUUGUUCUUGGCCACGUGUUUUUACUGUAAUGUUUUCCAUUUAAUUUUAAACAUUGACUGUAUUUUUCCAUCGCCCCUUUUACACCUGUGUGUGUGUGUGUGUGUGUGUGUGUGUACAUAUGCAUGCGUACUCGUCGCACAUGUGUCUCAGGGCACUGCCUGGCUCUGGAGGUGCUGCAGACCUGAGGGAGCCGACAGCACAGGUUCCAGUCCGAGGGCGGGCGAGUGCCAGCGUCCGGCCCCACAAGUCAGGCUGGCAAAGUCUGCUGUCACUCAACAUCACGGUCCAUUUAGGGCUGCUACAGUGACAUGCCUAGGAUUGAACCAUUAAAGAACAGGGAUUAUUUUCCCUCUGUGCCGGAGGCUGGGAAGGCUGGAUUCAGGUGCAGUUGUAGGGGGC
This 2141-nucleotide long non-coding RNA is filed under the name Heterocephalus glaber (naked mole-rat). RNAcentral describes it as "lncRNA (ENSHGLG00100038061.1)". The record is from RNAcentral. Lineage: Eukaryota; Metazoa; Chordata; Mammalia; Rodentia; Bathyergidae.